RNAcentral lists this ribosomal RNA (468 nucleotides) under uncultured bacterium. RNAcentral describes it as "partial 16S ribosomal RNA". It matches the Rfam family "Bacterial small subunit ribosomal RNA", at positions 28 to 507 of the family's 1533-position model. The record is from RNAcentral.
GACGAACGCUGGCGGCGUGCUUAACACAUGCAAGUCGAACGGAAAGGCCCUGCUUUUGUGGGGUGCUCGAGUGGCGAACGGGUGAGUAACACGUGAGUAACCUGCCCUUGACUUUGGGAUAACUUCAGGAAACUGGGGCUAAUACCGGAUAGGAGCUCCUGCUGCAUGGUGGGGGUUGGAAAGUUUCGGCGGUUGGGGUUGGACUCGCGGCUUAUCAGCUUGUUGGUGGGGUAGUGGCUUACCAAGGCUUUGACGGGUAGCCGGCCUGAGAGGGUGACCGGCCACAUUGGGACUGAGAUACGGCCCAGACUCCUACGGGAGGCAGCAGCGGGGAAUAUUGCACAAUGGGCGGAAGCCUGAUGCAGCAACGCCGCGUGCGGGAUGACGGCCUUCGGGUUGUAAACCGCUUUCGCCUGUGACGAAGCGUGAGUGACGGUAAUGGGUAAAGAAGCACCGGCUAACUACGUG